Molecule: ribosomal RNA, 467 nt
Filed under: uncultured bacterium
Lineage: Bacteria
Description: partial 16S ribosomal RNA
Rfam family: Bacterial small subunit ribosomal RNA
Source: RNAcentral
GACGAACGCUGGCGGCGUGCUUAACACAUGCAAGUCGAACGGAAAGGCCUAGCUUGCUGGGUACUCGAGUGGCGAACGGGUGAGUAACACGUGGGUGAUCUGCCCCUGACUUUGGGAUAAGCCUGGGAAACUGGGUCUAAUACCGGAUAUUCAUUUUUCCUCGCAUGGGGAUUUGUGGAAAGCUUUUGCGGUUGGGGAUGGGCCCGCGGCCUAUCAGCUUGUUGGUGGGGUAAUGGCCUACCAAGGCGACGACGGGUAGCCGACCUGAGGGGGUGAUCGGCCACACUGGGACUGAGACACGGCCCAGACUCCUACGGGAGGCAGCAGUGGGGAAUAUUGCACAAUGGGCGCAAGCCUGAUGCAGCGACGCCGCGUGAGGGAUGACGGCCUUCGGGUUGUAAACCUCUUUCAGCUCCGACGAAGCGCAAGUGACGGUAGGAGCAGAAGAAGCACCGGCCAACUACGUG